This 376-nucleotide ribosomal RNA is filed under the name uncultured bacterium. RNAcentral describes it as "bacterial SSU rRNA". It matches the Rfam family "Bacterial small subunit ribosomal RNA", at positions 524 to 898 of the family's 1533-position model. The record is from RNAcentral.
UACGUAGGUGGCAAGCGUUGUCCGGAAUUAUUGGGCGUAAAGCGCGCGCAGGCGGUCCUUUAAGUCUGAUGUGAAAGCCCACGGCUCAACCGUGGAGGGUCAUUGGAAACUGGGGGACUUGAGUGCAGAAGAGGAAAGUGGAAUUCCACGUGUAGCGGUGAAAUGCGUAGAGAUGUGGAGGAACACCAGUGGCGAAGGCGACUUUCUGGUCUGUAACUGACGCUGAGGCGCGAAAGCGUGGGGAGCAAACAGGAUUAGAUACCCUGGUAGUCCACGCCGUAAACGAUGAGUGCUAAGUGUUAGGGGGUUUCCGCCCCUUAGUGCUGCAGCUAACGCAUUAAGCACUCCGCCUGGGGAGUACGGCCGCAAGGCUGAA